GGCUCCAGAAGGAAGCUUGAUCCUAGACAAAUAUAAUUGACAGCCACCAAAAGGGUAAAGUUAGCAGUCAAUUACAAGUAACAAACUCAGUAAACUAUAAUUUCAGAGGCAACAAAACUAAAGGGAUAAAUAGGCAUAAAAGCACAAAAAAAUACCAUUCCUUUUCAAUUGUGACCAUGUCUUAUAUAUUAAUGAUAGAGUUGAUUAAUUUCAGCAUUGUAACUCAGGAGCCAAUCUCUCUUCGUCUAGGCAUGUACCUCACUGAAUUGGACUUUGGCUACAAUUACUAACGUUUCAAAAGUCCAUGGGACCCAUCAAUGUACUUCAAUGAAGAGGCUACAAUUGAAAACAUGAGUAUAAUUUUAGAUUUGUUUUGGCCAUCAACUCAAAACAAAAUUUUUGCUUUAAAAAUUAAACAGCAUGACCAGCUGAAAAUGCUUAUUAAAUUUGCUGCCAGCUCAACACGACUGCUACUUAUAUAAUGCAAUUUUAGUUGUAAAGUUCCAAGCAUUUCAGACAUCCAAUUUACAUAUUAAUCAAAUAAAAAUAUUAACACCAAAAUGCGAUAACUUUCAAGGAGAGCAUAUCCACAGUGAUCUAACUUCAUAAACUAUCGAAGGAUUAUAAAUGCUAUAGAACAUCACCGCCCAUUCAAAUUGGGGCUAAUAUAAAGAAACUGUAAUCCGUAAACAUUAUAGACAGUAAUUCAGUAGGUAAGCAGAAUCAUCUCAAUCUCAUAGACAUGGAACACCCAUCCUACAAGACCAUUUUAUUGGAAGUGAGUGGUUAAGAAAUCUACUAGCAGUCUUACAAAAAAUCGAACAACUACUCAAGUGCAAAGCAUCCUCCCUUGCUAAGCUACGGUUCCCAAACUAUGGAGAUAGGAACACUAUAAUUCUUGCAAACAUUACCAAAAGACAGGGAACUAUCAGUAGAACAGAAAUCUAACAGCUGCAUCACCACUCACAAGAUCCAUUAAAAAAUAAAUAUCUCCUGGUCAUAGAGAACCAAAAUAAUUAAGGUAUGGCUAACCACCUAUGCCAUAAACUUCCAUCAGUUACAUCUACUAAUGAUUGGAUCCAAAACAUAUUAUCUUAAACUGGCAACAUUAAGAGUCUAUUCACUUAUGGAAAAGUUGAUUAGUUUUCUAGAAAAAUUUUCAAAGAAAAUUGGAAAAUCAAAGUUCAAUGUUCAAAUGCACCCAUUUUCUAAACGGAGAAAUGGAAAAAUUAGUUUUGGUUUUCCAAAAUUUAACCAAGAUUUGAAAAAUAGUUUUAAGUUGUUUUUAACUGUUUUUCUUUGUUACAAAAAUUCUAUUGUUCUACUUUUUUCAAAUAGAAAAUAAUGGCUUUUCUGUAAUUAAAAUUAUACUACAAUUUUUCAUAAUUAAAAUUGAAUAAUUAUUUA
RNAcentral lists this unclassified non-coding RNA (1407 nucleotides) under Hevea brasiliensis (rubber tree). Lineage: Eukaryota; Viridiplantae; Streptophyta; Magnoliopsida; Malpighiales; Euphorbiaceae. The record is from RNAcentral.